Molecule: long non-coding RNA, 276 nt
Filed under: Capsicum annuum
Lineage: Eukaryota; Viridiplantae; Streptophyta; Magnoliopsida; Solanales; Solanaceae
Description: long non-coding RNA (CANN_LNC000579)
Source: RNAcentral
UUUUCUUUUUCUAUGAGAUUUUGUGCUUUUUCUUCAUUUGCUUCAUCUGCUUCACUUCUAAGUUUUAACACAUUUUUCCCAGUAAUGUAGGGGAAAGAAGGGGAUUUAUUUCAGUUUUUUUGGGAUCAACUUAUUAGUGUAAUAAAAAGAAACAUUUACGUUAUCUAGCUAAUUUGGCAUCUGGGUAUUUUUCUAGUUUUCUCUGUUAGCAUAUGUUGUUGUUUCUUAUACUUCAAUUAUCAUAUUAUUUUGUUGUAUUUAUUUGUGUCGAGGUCU